UACGUAGGGGGCGAGCGUUGUUCGGAAUCAUUGGGCGUAAAGCGCGUGUAGGUGGCUAGGUAAGUCGGGUGUGAAAUCCCUGGGCUCAACCGAGGAAGUGCAUCCGAAACUCCCUAGCUAGAGGACGGUAGAGGAAGGUGGAAUUCCUAGUGUAGGGGUGAAAUUCGUAGAUAUUAGGAGGAAUACCUGUGGCGAAGGCGGCCUUCUGGGCCGUUCCUAACACUGAGACGCGAAAGCGUGGGGAGCAAACAG
RNAcentral lists this ribosomal RNA (252 nucleotides) under uncultured bacterium. RNAcentral describes it as "partial 16S ribosomal RNA". It matches the Rfam family "Bacterial small subunit ribosomal RNA", at positions 524 to 775 of the family's 1533-position model. The record is from RNAcentral.